RNAcentral lists this microRNA (22 nucleotides) under Cordylochernes scorpioides. The record is from RNAcentral. Lineage: Eukaryota; Metazoa; Arthropoda; Arachnida; Pseudoscorpiones; Chernetidae.
UGCAUGCCUUGGGGAGUGGUAG